GGGAUUAGUCGGAAUGUAAAAGGAACCCUUCAACUUGAUGACCCACGGACAAGACACAGGAGGCAGAAAACAUUCUUCUUUUCAUUAAAAGCACUAUACCUACUGUACCUCCUAGAUAAGGAGACCCUGCAAGUAUCAGCAAUAGAAAAGCUAAAAUCAGGGCGGAGCGUGUAGCUCUCAGUGGUGGAGCACUUGCUUGGCAUCCCUGAGGCCCUGGAUUCGACACCCCACACUACAGAAGUGCUCUCAGGUGCAGUGAUAGCGUGCUGACUCCAGCUCGCUAAACUGACCCCUGGAGAGUCCUCAGUGAGGCAGGGUCCGGGCGUGGCUGACUCCGUGGUUCAACAGCACCUGCAGCCCAGGCUCUCGUCCUUUCAGACUCACCCUCCUGCUGUGCCCCGCAUCAGCUUCAUCAGAGGCUGGUGCCCUUUGUGGUCGUCAGAUGAGCAUCAGCAGAAACAGAGCGACGCCCUUCCCGGUGCGCUCGCAGGGACAGAGCCCGGGAGUUCUACUCCUGCCUGCCUUUCUGACUGAGGCCGCAGUCCUUGACUUCCCUGCGCCCUGACUCACUCUCCCCUGAGAAUUCCUCCCGCUGGCUGUGCUCAGGACCCGCCCCAGAAUGAGGACCGGGCCUGCACCAGAACGAAGCCAGGGAACAGGAAACGUCUGAUCGCCCAAUGGACAGCUCUUGGAAAAGGGUCAAAGGAUAUUUUAAUCCGAAGGAGAAUCCUAAAGGAGAGGAUGUGUCGGGGAUACUUUGGGGGAGAGCUGUCACUGGGUCCACUCCCACUCCCCCUGUCUUAAUGGGUGAAAGGGAGGUGUGAGGCUGUGCCGCCUCCAGCUUUAGUGAGGGGUUCCACAGGGCUACUCAGAGAGCUUAACCCACGAUCCGCACCUAUGAGCGGCGCAGGGCUGGGAUAACGCCUGGAAAUCUCAGCGGGCUCUCUGUGGGUGUAUUGUCAAGCCACAGCGACCUCCGCAUUGCUAAAUGCAAAGGUCAACACGCAGCCUUCUCGUUACACUCCUGCGCGUGAAAGCGGCUGAACAGCGCCUCCACCCGGCUUCCCGGGAACCGUGAACUCCGACCUCCAGCCACACGGUCUCAGGCUCUUGCCCGCACCUCCCAAAUCACAGUCCCUGGGGAACAGGGCACUCCAGGACGCAGCUCUUGGACCUCUUAUUAUCUCUACACUCAUUCCCUCUCCGUGCUGACAACUUCCAAAACCCCAGCUUGGAACACUCUCCUGAACUUUGCAUUCAUAUCCACUGACUUUUGAAAGUCCCCACUUGGAUACCUAACCAUAUUUCAAAAUGUCAAAAACCAGUCUCUGAGUUUUUUCCUCCCCAAACCUGCUGCUCCCUAACUUCCCUGCUCAAGUAAUGGCAUCCUUCCAUCUGAAGAAAAAAGCUAGAAUCGCUGUUUCAUACCCGCUACCUCAUCCACCAGCGAAAGUAUUUUUGCAGUUGGUUCUAUCUUCCAAACACACCCAGAGCAGGUCACUUCUCUCCACCUCAUCCACCUGUCCCCGGGAUUACUCCAAGCGUCCCAACUUCGUCUUUCCUUUUCUGCACAGACAUCUGCCACCAAAAGUCACCCAGCUCGCUCCAGAUGGUGCCAGAAUCUGGCUUUUUAAAGUAGCACUUAUGACACUUUCCUCCACAAACCCCUCCGGGGCGUCUCCAUCUCAUUCAGAGAAAGAGCCAAAGUCCUAACAUUAGCAGAUCAAACCCCAGCACACGCCCACCUCCUCGGUCCCCACUGACCUCUUCUUGUCUCACAUCCUUCACUUGAACAGAUCCUUAUUCUUCUCCAAGCAUGCCGGACGCCGUGCUACCACAGGGCCCUGACACCAGCUGCUCUCCCAGCUUGCAGUAACUUAAGCUUCACAAAGUGCACCUUGCCACUGCGGCAUUUCCUGACCACCCCGACCAAAACCUCAAACAUCACAACCUCCACUUCUGCCCAUAUCUGCCUUCCAUGUACGUAUAUAGCACUUCAAGAGUAUGUUUGCUUCUAAUGUACUUUACCGCUUACUUGUUCAUCUUGUGAUUCUUUCCCCACAAAAACACAGACCCUAUGAAGACAGGCAGUUGUUUGUUUGUGGUUUUUUGUUUUGGGGUGUUUGUUUUGUUCUGUUUUUCUGGUCUGGGCUGUAAAAUGCUGUAACUCCAAUACCUAGAGCAAGGCCUGACACAUAGUAGGUAAACAAUAAAUAUUAGUCAAAUGACGGCA
This is a long non-coding RNA of Chinchilla lanigera (long-tailed chinchilla), 2233 nucleotides long. RefSeq lists it as uncharacterized. Lineage: Eukaryota; Metazoa; Chordata; Mammalia; Rodentia; Chinchillidae. The record is from RefSeq and is a predicted model, not a curated record. The transcript is spliced from 2 exons.